Molecule: non-coding RNA, 664 nt
Organism: Pantherophis guttatus
Lineage: Eukaryota; Metazoa; Chordata; Lepidosauria; Squamata; Colubridae
Source: RefSeq, a predicted model, not a curated record
CAGAAGACAAAAUGCCGUCCGAUUUGGAACUGAGAUUCAGCAGGUAAAACUGAACUGCAAGAUGUACAGGAGAGCAAUGCAAAAAGACAAGCCCAAAAAUUUGCCAGCCUGGAUGAAAAACUUCUAAUGGAAUCCAGCUUGAAAGCAAGUCAAGGGCAGCUAAGCAAGCAGAGAGCAGCGACAGUUUCCCAGAGAAGUAGGAAAAGGCAGAGAGAGAAUGCUGAAGCCUCUGAGAAAAUGCAUUAUAGAUUCUCACGAAGAAUUAAUGAUUACAAGUAUAUAAAUUCCAGUUGGCUGCUCCAAGAUGCGAGUAAUUAGAGAAGCCCAUCUCUAUCUCUGCGCCUUAUCUAACAGCAUGAAUAACUCCACUUCUAGUUCAGGCAGCCUCAUGAUUCACCACUAAAGGCUUCGAAAGAAGGUUCUUGCUAAGAAAACCUCACAAUAACAUCAUUAAUCCAUGAGGAAUUUCCUCAUCUGGGACAUCUGUUCAAGGAAUGUCACAAACAAACGUACAGUCCAUUCAUAACCUGCUCUCAAUUCACAACUUUAUAGAAAGCAGAAGCCACAUUAUUAAAACUUUAUGAUCUGAAAAAAUAUAACCAAAUGCAUUGUGCUUCCCUUGUUAAUGCAGCUCUACAUAAAUAACUCUCUCUUUGUAAACUUA